Molecule: ribosomal RNA, 440 nt
Filed under: uncultured bacterium
Lineage: Bacteria
Description: partial 16S ribosomal RNA
Rfam family: Bacterial small subunit ribosomal RNA
Source: RNAcentral
CCUACGGGUGGCAGCAGUAGGGAAUAUUGCUCAAUGGGCGAAACCCUGAAGCAGCAACGCCGCGUGGAGGAUGACGGUUUUCGGAUUGUAAACCCCUUUUGUUAGAGAAGAUAAUGACGGUAUCUAACGAAUAAGCACCGGCUAACUCCGUGCCAGCAGCCGCGGUAAUACGGAGGGUGCAAGCGUUACUAGGAAUCACUGGGCGUAAAGGGCGCGUAGGCGGGUUAGCAAGUCAGAUGUGAAAUCCUAUGGCUUAACCAUAGAACUGCAUUUGAAACUGUUAUUCUAGAGUAUGGGAGAGGUAGGUGGAAUUCGUGGUGUAGGGGUAAAAUCCGUAGAGAUCAAGAGGAAUACUCAUUGCGAAGGCGACCUGCUAGAACAUAACUGACGCUGAUGCGCGAAAGCGUGGGGAGCAAACAGGAUUAGAUACCCUUGUAGUC